This 255-nucleotide ribosomal RNA is filed under the name uncultured bacterium. Its description in RNAcentral is "partial 16S ribosomal RNA". It matches the Rfam family "Bacterial small subunit ribosomal RNA", at positions 28 to 285 of the family's 1533-position model. The record is from RNAcentral.
GACGAACGCUGGCGGCGUGCUUAACACAUGCAAGUCGAGCGGUAAGGCCCUUUCGGGGGUACACGAGCGGCGAACGGGUGAGUAACACGUGGGUGACCUGCCCUCAGCUCUGGGAUAAGCCUGGGAAACCGGGUCUAAUACCGGGUAUGACUCCAUGACGCAUGUUGUGGGGUGGAAAGCCUUGUGCGGCUGAGGAUGGGCCCGCGGCCUAUCAGCUUGUUGGUGGGGUGAUGGCCACCAAGGCGACGACGGGUA